RNAcentral lists this unclassified non-coding RNA (344 nucleotides) under soil metagenome. RNAcentral describes it as "partial contains 5.8S ribosomal RNA, internal transcribed spacer 2, and large subunit ribosomal RNA". The stretch from base 1 to 120 matches the Rfam family "5.8S ribosomal RNA", at positions 35 to 154 of the family's 154-position model. The record is from RNAcentral.
GAUGAAGAACACAGCGAAAUGCGAUAAGUAAUGUGAAUUGCAGAAUUCAGUGAAUCAUCGAAUCUUUGAACGCACAUUGCGCCCGCCAGUAUUCUGGCGGGCAUGCCUGUUCGAGCGUCAUUUCAACCCUCAAGCCCCCGGGCUUGGUGUUGGGGAUCGGCGUGCCCUCGCGGCGCGCCGUCCCCUAAAUCUAGUGGCGGUCUCGCUGUAGCUUCCUCUGCGUAGUAGCAACACUCGCACUGGAUCGCAGCGCGGCCACGCCGUUAAACCCCCCACUUCUGAAAGUUUGACCUCGGAUCAGGUAGGAAUACCCGCUGAACUUAAGCAUAUCAAUAAGCGGAGGA